GACGAACGCUGGCGGCGUGCCUAAUACAUGCAAGUAGAACGCUGAAGAGAGGAGCUUGCUCUUCUUGGAUGAGUUGCGAACGGGUGAGUAACGCGUAGGUAACCUGCCUUGUAGCGGGGGAUAACUAUUGGAAACGAUAGCUAAUACCGCAUAACAAUGGAUGACACAUGUCAUUUAUUUGAAAGGGGCAAUUGCUCCACUACAAGAUGGACCUGCGUUGUAUUAGCUAGUAGGUGAGGUAACGGCUCACCUAGGCGACGAUACAUAGCCGACCUGAGAGGGUGAUCGGCCACACUGGGACUGAGACACGGCCCAGACUCCUACGGGAGGCAGCAGUAGGGAAUCUUCGGCAAUGGGGGCAACCCUGACCGAGCAACGCCGCGGGAGUGAAGAAGGUUUUCGGAUCGUAAAGCUCUGUUGUAAGUCAAGAACGGGUGUGAGAGUGGAAAGUUCACACUGUGACGGUAGCUUACCAGAAAGGGACGGCUAACUACGUG
RNAcentral lists this ribosomal RNA (497 nucleotides) under uncultured bacterium. Its description in RNAcentral is "partial 16S ribosomal RNA". It matches the Rfam family "Bacterial small subunit ribosomal RNA", at positions 28 to 507 of the family's 1533-position model. The record is from RNAcentral.